UCUGCCUGAAGAGAAGCUCGCGGCUGAUUAGCUAGUUGGUAGGGUAAAGGCCUACCAAGGCGACGAUCAGUAGCUGGUCUGAGAGGACGAUCAGCCACAUUGGAACUGAGACACGGUCCAAACUCCUACGGGAGGCAGCAGAGGGGAAUAUUGCACAAUGGGCGAAAGCCUGAUGCAGCAACGCCGCGUGAGCGAUGAAGGCCUUCGGGUCGUAAAGCUCUGUCCUCAAGGAAGAUAAUGACGGUACUUGAGGAGGAAGCCCCGGCUAACUACGUGCCAGCAGCCGCGGUAAUACGUAGGGGGCUAGCGUUAUCCGGAAUUACUGGGCGUAGAGGGUGCGUAGGUGGUUUCUUAAGUCAGAGGUGAAAGGCUACGGCUCAACCGUAGUAAGCCUUUGAAACUGGGAAACUUGAGUGCAGGAGAGGAGAGUGGAAUUCCUAGUGUAGCGGUGAAAUGCGUAGAUAUUAGGAGGAACACCAGUUGCGAAGGCGGCUCUCUGGACUGUAACUGACACUGAGGCACGAAAGCGUGGGGAGCCUAAGAAGGUUCUAUACCCUGGUAGUCCCCCCCGUAAACGAAGAACACUAGGUGUCGGGGGAAUCGACCCCCUCGGUGUUGUAGCUAACGCGUUAAGUGUUCCGCCUGGGGAGUACGCACGCGAGUGUGAAACUCAAAGGAAUAGACGGGGGCCCGCACAAGCGGUGGAGUAUGUGGUUUAAUCCGAUGCAACGCGAAGAACCUUACCAGGGUUUGACAUCCUGCGAAUCCCUUGGAAACAAGGGAGUGCCUUCGGGAGCGCAGUGACAGGUGGUGCAUGGCUGUCGUCAGCUCGUGUCGUGAGAUGUUGGGUUAAGUCCCGCAACGAGCGCAACCCACGUCUUUAGUUGCCAGCAUUAAGUUGGGCACUCUAGAGAGACUGCCGGUGAUAAACCGGAGGAAGGUGUGGAUGACGUCAAGUCAUCAUGCCCCUUACAUCCUGGGCUACACACGUACUACAAUGCUACGGACAAAGGGCAGCAAACUCGCGAGAGCUAGCAAAUCCCAUAAACCGUGGCUCAGUUCAGAUCGUAGGCUGCAACUCGCCUACGUGAAGGAGGAAUCGCUAGUAAUCGCAGGUCAGCAUACUGCGGUGAAAAAGUUCCCGGGCCUUGCACACACCGCCCGUCA
RNAcentral lists this ribosomal RNA (1167 nucleotides) under uncultured bacterium. RNAcentral's name for it is "bacterial SSU rRNA". It matches the Rfam family "Bacterial small subunit ribosomal RNA", at positions 214 to 1399 of the family's 1533-position model. The record is from RNAcentral.